UGCAAGUCGAGCGGACAGAAGGGAGCUUGCUCCCGGAUGUUAGCGGCGGACGGGUGAGUAACACGUGGGUAACCUGCCUGUAAGACUGGGAUAACUCCGGGAAACCGGAGCUAAUACCGGAUAGUUCCUUGAACCGCAUGGUUCAAGGAUGAAAGACGGUUUCGGCUGUCACUUACAGAUGGACCCGCGGCGCAUUAGCUAGUUGGUGAGGUAACGGCUCACCAAGGCGACGAUGCGUAGCCGACCUGAGAGGGUGAUCGGCCACACUGGGACUGAGACACGGCCCAGACUCCUACGGGAGGCAGCAGUAGGGAAUCUUCCGCAAUGGACGAAAGUCUGACGGAGCAACGCCGCGUGAGUGAUGAAGGUUUUCGGAUCGUAAAGCUCUGUUGUUAGGGAAGAACAAGUGCAAGAGUAACUGCUUGCACCUUGACGGUACCUAACCAGAAAGCCACGGCUAACUACGUGCCAGCAGCCGCGGUAAUACGUAGGUGGCAAGCGUUGUCCGGAAUUAUUGGGCGUAAAGGGCUCGCAGGCGGUUUCUUAAGUCUGAUGUGAAAGCCCCCGGCUCAACCGGGGAGGGUCAUUGGAAACUGGGAAACUUGAGUGCAGAAGAGGAGAGUGGAAUUCCACGUGUAGCGGUGAAAUGCGUAGAGAUGUGGAGGAACACCAGUGGCGAAGGCGACUCUCUGGUCUGUAACUGACGCUGAGGAGCGAAAGCGUGGGGAGCGAACAGGAU
Molecule: ribosomal RNA, 739 nt
Filed under: Bacillus sp. AU681_Ted3_MB20NH4
Lineage: Bacteria; Bacillati; Bacillota; Bacilli; Caryophanales; Bacillaceae
Description: bacterial SSU rRNA
Rfam family: Bacterial small subunit ribosomal RNA
Source: RNAcentral